CCUACGGGCGGCAGCAGUGGGGAAUAUUGCGCAAUGGGCGAAAGCCUGACGCAGCGACGCCGCGUGAGGGAUGAAGGUCUUCGGAUCGUAAACCUCUGUCAGUAGGGGAGAACGGUCACUGUGCUAAUCAGCAGUGAAUUGACGGUACCUGCAAAGGAAGCAUCGGCUAACUCCGUGCCAGCAGCCGCGGUAAUACGGAGGGUGCGAGCGUUAAUCGGAAUUACUGGGCGUAAAGCGCUCGUAGGCGGUAUGUCAAGUCAAGGGUGAAAUCCCCGCGCUCAACGUGGGAACUGCCUUUGAUACUGGCAAACUGGAGUGUGUGUGAGGAUAGUGGAAUGCCAGGUGUAGGAGUGAAAUGCGUAGAUAUCUGGAGGAACAUCAGUGGCGAAGGCGACUAUCUGGCACAUAACUGACGCUGAGGAGCGAAAGCGUGGGUAGCAAACAGGAUUAGAUACCCCGGUAGUC
Molecule: ribosomal RNA, 465 nt
Filed under: uncultured bacterium
Lineage: Bacteria
Description: partial 16S ribosomal RNA
Rfam family: Bacterial small subunit ribosomal RNA
Source: RNAcentral